GGACCCGCACAAGCAGUGGAGCAUGUGGUUUAAUUCGAAGCAACGCGAAGAACCUUACCAAGGCUUGACAUCCCGGUGACCGGUAUAGAGAUAUACCUUUUCUUCUGAACACCGGUGACAGGUGGUGCAUGGUUGUCGUCAGCUCGUGUCGUGAGAUGUUGGGUUAAGUCCCGCAACGAGCGCAACCCUUAUUGUUAGUUGCCAUCAUUAAGUUGGGCACUCUAGCGAGACUGCCGGUGAUAAAUCGGAGGAAGGUGGGGACGACGUCAAAUCAUCAUGCCCCUUAUGUCUUGGGCUACACACGUGCUACAAUGGCUGUAAACAAAGGGCAGCAAGCCAGUGAUGGUAAGCAAAUCCCAAAAGACAGUCCCAGUUCGGAUUGUAGGCUGCAACUCGCCUACAUGAAGUCGGAAUUGCUAGUAAUCGCAGGUCAGCAUACUGCGGUGAAUACGUUCCCGGGUCUU
Molecule: ribosomal RNA, 464 nt
Filed under: uncultured bacterium
Lineage: Bacteria
Description: bacterial SSU rRNA
Rfam family: Bacterial small subunit ribosomal RNA
Source: RNAcentral